UUGGAGGGCAAGUCUGGUGCCAGCAGCCGCGGUAAUUCCAGCUCCAAUAGCGUAUAUUAAAGUUGUUGCAGUUAAAAAGCUCGUAGUUGAAUUUCGGGAUCAGAUUGUCGGUCGUGCCUCGGUACGCACUGGCAUUAUUGGUUCCUACCUUCUGAAGAACCGCGAUGUCAUUAAUUUGGUGUCGUGGGGAAUCAGGACUGUUACUUUGAAAAAAUUAGAGUGUUUAAAGCAGGCGCACGCUUGAAUACAUUAGCAUGGAAUAAUGAAAUAGGACGUUUGAUUCUAUUUUGUUGGUUUCUAGGAUCGACGUAAUGAUUAAUAGGGAUAGUUGGGGGCAUUAGUAUUCAAUUGUCAGAGGUGAAAUUCUUGGAUUUAUUGAAGACUAACUUCUGCGAAAGCAUUUGCCAAGGAUGUUUUCAUUAAUCAAGAACGAAAGUUAGGGGAUCGAAGACGAUCAGAUACCGUCGUAGUCUUAACCAUAAACUAUGCCGACUAAGGAUCGGAUGAUGUUAAUUUUUUAAUGACUCAUUCGGCGCCUUACGGGAAAC
RNAcentral lists this ribosomal RNA (548 nucleotides) under uncultured Glomeraceae. Its description in RNAcentral is "SSU rRNA". It matches the Rfam family "Eukaryotic small subunit ribosomal RNA", at positions 548 to 1098 of the family's 1831-position model. Lineage: Eukaryota; Fungi; Glomeromycota; Glomeromycetes; Glomerales; Glomeraceae. The record is from RNAcentral.